Molecule: ribosomal RNA, 130 nt
Filed under: Prevotella intermedia
Lineage: Bacteria; Pseudomonadati; Bacteroidota; Bacteroidia; Bacteroidales; Prevotellaceae
Description: partial 23S ribosomal RNA
Rfam family: Bacterial large subunit ribosomal RNA
Source: RNAcentral
CAUCUUAGUACCUGCAGGAAAAGAAAAUAACUUAAUGAUUCCCCCAGUAGUGGCGAGCGAACGGGGAACAGCCCAAACCCACGACGUAGCAAUGCGCCGUGGGGGUUGUAGGACCACGUUGUCGUACCUG